GACAGCAGUGCCGCGGGAAUACGUAGGGUGCAAGCGUUAAUCGGAAUUACUGGGCGUAAAGCGUGCGCAGGCGGUGUUGUAAGACUGAUGUGAAAUCCCCGGGCUCAACCUGGGAACUGCAUUGGUGACUGCAACGCUGGAGUGCGGCAGAGGGGGAUGGAAUUCCGCGUGUAGCAGUGAAAUGCGUAGAUAUGCGGAGGAACACCGAUGGCGAAGGCAGCCCCCUGGGAUAAUACUGACGCUCAUGCACGAAAGCGUGGGGAGCAAACAGGAUUAGAUACCCCUGUAGUCCCUGUCUCUUAUACC
RNAcentral lists this ribosomal RNA (306 nucleotides) under uncultured bacterium. RNAcentral's name for it is "partial 16S ribosomal RNA". It matches the Rfam family "Bacterial small subunit ribosomal RNA", at positions 507 to 808 of the family's 1533-position model. The record is from RNAcentral.